AACUUAUAAUAGAACCAGUAGAGAAAACUCCCAAUCCACUUUACAAAUUUAUAAUCACAGACUACAAUCAACAAGAACACCAACAUCAACAACAGCUGAUGUUAUAUUUACUCAUCAACAAAUAAAUGGACUAAAACUAUGGAUUGAAAUACAAGGUGUAUCUUUGGCGGGUUCUUGUAAUAAUAUAAAUGAAACAACUGCUUCACCCACACCCACCACACCACAACCAGACAGUACUACAACUCCAGGUUCAUCUUCUACACAGACUGAGAUUUCUACCAGUACAACUACAGUAAAUAACAGACCUUCCAGCAUUGCAACCGACCCCAAUACUUCAUCAGAAACAUCAACUGCCCAUCCCACUACAGUAAAUAACACAGAUUCCAAUACCACAUCCAACUACAGCACUUCAUCUCAAACAUCAACUAACACCUCAGAUUUGCGAUCUGGUUCAACAUCAAGAACAUCGACCAAUCCAUCAGACAGUGCAGCACAACAAACAGGCAACAGUAAAUAUUUAUUGUUGAUAGUUGGUUGUGUUGUUGGUGGACUGGUGUUGAUAUUAAUAGUAGUAAUUGUAUGUGUUUUAUUCAGAGUACGAAAAAGGAGGGCUAAUGUCUUACAACAGAAUGUGCACGUGCAUAUUAACAACACUGUUAACAAUAAUACUGCUCCAAAUUACUUCGUACUAGAAAGUUUGAAUACCCAGGAUGAGGAUGUUAAACAUGAUAAUAUUAAUACCAAUCCAUCGGGCUUGGCAACAGGUCAUACACCAGAAUAUGCCGUUGUGAAUAAGGCCGGAAGAAGGUUUAAUGUGACUGAUGGGAAUCCACCGGAACAAGCAACAAAGAGCAAUGCAACUGAUAUGGCAGAUAUGGAAAUAUUAGAGAACGAACUAUACAUACCCUACGAAGCACCUAACAAUCUAGAUAACACUGGUGCUGUAGCUUCUACAAGCAAUAACAUACCACAACAUCAACAACCAUCAGGAGAUAUGGAAAUAUUAGAAAAUGAACUGUACAUACCCUACGAGGCAUCCAACAAUCCAGAUAACACUGGUGCUGUGGCUUCUACAGCCAAUAAUAUACAACACCAUCGACCAUCAGGAGAUAUGGAAAUACUAGAGAACGAACUGUACAUACCCUACGAGGCAUCCAGCAAUCCAGAUAACACUGGUGCUGUGGCUUCUACAACCAAUAAUAUACCACAACAUCGACCAUCAGGAGAUAUGGAAAUCAUGGAGAAUGAUUUGUAUGUUCCUUUUGAAAAUUCUGCUGUUGAGGUGUCGAAACCUAUGACAAGCAGUAUAUAUGAUAAUGCUUCUAACAACGGGACAAAACAAAACGUUGCUACACCCGACAUGGAAAGCAGGACAAAGCAAAACGUUGCUUCGUCUGAAAUGGAAAUCCUAGAAAAUGAUUUGUAUGUUCCUUUUGAAGACACAGAUAAAACAGAGAAUAAGUCAAGCGACCAAGCACCAAAUGUGUAGAUUUUAGAAAAUAAUUUAUAGGUUCCUUUCGAAAAAACACAAAUAUGAUUUCAGUUCUUAAUUACUCCAAAACGCCCACAGACAACUGUAAUACAAAUACGGGCAAUGGGUUUUAUGUGCUCAUUCCAUAAUAUGUAAAAACAAAUAGUGGAUAACAUAAUAUUGAAUUAGUUUUAGUCCACCAAAAAUGUUUAAUAGCCACCCAUGUUGCUUAUAUAUACUCUUCAAAAAAACGUAGGGGAUAUUCAGAAACAAUACAAAACUGCGAAAAUGCACUGCUGUUUUUAUUAGAGGUAACCAGUGUAUGUUAAUAACAGGCCAAUUGUCUAUACAUGAACAUAAACAGUUCAUAUGGGCGGUUUAUCUGACGGCCCCUUUUCACUCGCAAAGAGAUACACUAUAAAAAGUGAAAAUGGACGUUUUUUGAUUUGUGUCUUAAUAAUGAGUAAUUGCUCCAACAAUGAUCAGACAUUUAGCAAUUAUUCGUGGCAUGCCCCUAAUCAACCGUCCAAUCACGAUUUGGGGCAAUUUGACCAACUCCUCUUGCAGUGCUACGUAACACACUAAAGGAAAGAUACGCUAAACAGUAAAUCUUAUGUAAGAACCGAUAGGAAAGCCAACGCGGAUAGGAUAAACCAGCAAGCGGCAGUUUUCAUCAACCCUACCUUAAAGUGUCAAAUAUGACAAUGAACCCCUCCCACGUGUAUGGCGCUAUUGGGUGUCGCACGUGCAGCUCAGUGGUUCUGUUGGGGCAUAAGUUCUUCAUCUGUGAACAUACUCUGAACGCAUGUCAAGUGUCCAUGACUAUUUAUCAUAUCACAACUUGCAUAGGUAUUUGCAUUUCAAUAUCCCCUACUUUUUUUUGAAGAGUAUAUAUAUUUCGUGCACUAUCAACGCCCCCCCCCCCCCACCUCUCUUACAAGUAACGACCGUAGUAUAGAGUAUUUUCCUCAAAUCUUUGUACAUACGAUUAUAUUAUAGUGUAAAGGUGUAAUGUGGGUUGGACAAUUUAAUUUUGAAUUCAUUUUAGUUGAAGAAACACAAUAGAAGUACAUGUCAACCGUCAACAGAUCGUGAGCUCUAUGUUAUAAUUCCGUGACUGGAGUAAAUUGUUGCUCGAUAUGAACACCGGAAAUGAGAUAUGAAUUAACUAUAGCAUGUAUCUGUUUUAUUACGAUAAUGACGACCGAUCAAGAUGUUUUUCAGGGUCCUUUAAUGUGUAUUUUAUAAUUGUUUCUCUGUGAAUAACUAUUUAAUACAUCUCCGGGAUUAAUAUCGGUUUUAUUCAUGUACAUCUCCAGGGAGAACAGAUAGAAAAUGAAACAUGUUGAGUUGAAUGGUUUUCUUCCCAGUAGAAACCGUUUUAUCUUUGUAUUAAACGAUAUACACGACAUAAGAUUGGAUAUACAAAGUAAAAAUUUAUUAAUAAUUUUAAAAGUAAACAACACAGAAUAAAACAUCUUACGUAAUAAAACUCCUACGGAGACUUGUUUUGUUAACGCCUAUUUUAAGUGAUUUCCUGUAUCUAUAUAUCUUUAUAAAUACAUUUCUGUCUACGUAAUCAAAUUCUAUAUAUACGUUAAGUAUUUUUUAUAUACGUCAAGUACUUUUUAUAUAUACAUAAAGGACUUUUUAUAUACGUAAAGGACGUUUUAUAUACGUAAAGGACUUUUUAUAUACGUCAAGAUACGCCAAGUAUUUUUUAUAUACGUAAAGUAUUUUUUAUAAUGUAAAGUAUUUUUUAUAAUGUAAAGUAUUUUUAUAGUAUUUUUUAUAUACGUAAAGUACUUUUUAUAGUAUUUUUUAUAUACGUAAAGAUACGUCAAAUAUUUUUAUAUAUGUAAAUACAUGUCUAUCUAAGUCUGUAUCUAUGCAAAUCCAUUUCUAUAUUUGUAACAUAAAUAAAUUUCUAUAUAAAUUUCCAUGUACUUCUAUAAAUUUCUACAAAUUUCUAUAACUUUCUAUCCAUCUGUACAAGAUGGAAAGAUUAUUUUAGGGGUUUUAUUAGUUGUUUUUUGUUUGUAAAUUGUAUGCUGUGUAAAUCCAGCAGAAAGCCAGCCUUUAAUCUAUCUAUUUAGUAUGGUCGUCGUACUGUAGAAUAUUCCUGCUGUCCAAACUAGUACCAUCUAACUGGGGGGUUAGCAUGUGCGCGCUGUAUCAUAAGGUCUGUCAUUGAGUCAACCGGUGUGGUUUCGAGUCCCCGAUUGUACGUGGCGAGGAGUAGGGUCGCGUGUCCAACCUCGUGGGGGUUUUCCGGGUCCUCCGGUUUCCUCCCACUGCUAAAUACCCCUAUGCGCAAGCGAAUUAUUGAAAAAAAUAAACCAUGUUACUCCCAAAAAUGACCAAGUUCGUGUCGAGUGGACGUUAAACUCUCUCUUUCUCUCCCAUCUUACUACUCUUUGAAAUUGAAGCUACCAGUUUAACUCAACACAGACCAAUACAAACAAUCUGAUUGGUCAACCAAUUCACGUGAUCUUGUCACGCACAAGUGGGGAAUCGAAACCAUGCCACUUGACUCAAUGGAAAACCAUAUGAUUCACUGCGCACGCAUUAAUCACCCCCCCCCCCCCCCUGCCGUUAAUGUUGUUCAAGUUGUUGACUCAGGGGAAAGGAUCGUUCUACGAUCAU
Long non-coding RNA from Patella vulgata (common limpet), 4117 nucleotides. RefSeq lists it as uncharacterized. The record is from RefSeq and is a predicted model, not a curated record. The transcript is spliced from 4 exons. Lineage: Eukaryota; Metazoa; Mollusca; Gastropoda; Patellidae.